RNAcentral lists this ribosomal RNA (494 nucleotides) under uncultured bacterium. RNAcentral describes it as "bacterial SSU rRNA". It matches the Rfam family "Bacterial small subunit ribosomal RNA", at positions 47 to 507 of the family's 1533-position model. The record is from RNAcentral.
CCUAACACAUGCAAGUCGAACGGAGUUCUUAAGGAAUGCGGCUUCGGUCAAAUGACUUUUGAACUUAGUGGCGGACGGGUGAGUAACGCGUAGGCAACCUGCCCUCAAGAUGGGGACAACGGCCCGAAAGGACCGCUAAUACCGAAUGAUGUGCAACUACCGCAUGGUAGAUGCACCAAAGGCGGAGCAAUCCGUCACUUGAGGAUGGGCCUGCGUCUGAUUAGCUGGUUGGUGAGGUAACGGCCCACCAAGGCGACGAUCAGUAGCCGGUCUGAGAGGAUGAACGGCCACAUUGGGACUGAGACACGGCCCAGACUCCUACGGGAGGCAGCAGUGGGGAAUCUUCCGCAAUGGGCGAAAGCCUGACGGAGCAACGCCGCGUGAGUGAAGAAGGUCUUCGGAUCGUAAAGCUCUGUUGUCGGGGACGAAGGGAUGCAUCAGGAAAUGGGUGCAUUUAGACGGUACCUGACGAGGAAGCCACGGCUAACUACGUG